RNAcentral lists this unclassified non-coding RNA (153 nucleotides) under uncultured Emericella. RNAcentral describes it as "sequence contains ITS1". The record is from RNAcentral. Lineage: Eukaryota; Fungi; Ascomycota; Eurotiomycetes; Eurotiales; Aspergillaceae.
CCGAGUGCGGGCUGCCUCCGGGCGCCCAACCUCCCACCCGUGACUACCUAACACUGUUGCUUCGGCGGGGAGCCCCCUAGGGGCGAGCCGCCGGGGACCACUGAACUUCAUGCCUGAGAGUGAUGCAGUCUGAGCCUGAAUACAAAUCAGUCA